RNAcentral lists this ribosomal RNA (253 nucleotides) under uncultured bacterium. RNAcentral's name for it is "partial 16S ribosomal RNA". It matches the Rfam family "Bacterial small subunit ribosomal RNA", at positions 524 to 776 of the family's 1533-position model. The record is from RNAcentral.
UACGUAGGGGGCAAGCGUUGUCCGGAUUUAUUGGGCGUAAAGCGCGCGCAGGCGGUCUAUUAAGUCUGAUGUGAAAGCCCACGGCUCAACCGUGGAGGGCCAUUGGAAACUGGUAGGCUUGAGUGCAGGAGGGGCAAUCGGAAUUCUUGGUGUAGCGGUGAAAUGCGUAGAUAUCAAGAGGAACACCUGAGGUGAAGACGGGUUGCUGGGCUGACACUGACGCUGAUGCGCGAAAGCCAGGGGAGCAAACGGG